UACAGAGGUCUCAAGCGUUGUUCGGAUUCAUUGGGCGUAAAGGGUGCGUAGGUGGCGCCGUAAGUCAGGUGUGAAAUCUCGGGGCUCAACCCCGAAACUGCACUUGAUACUGCGGUGCUCGAGUACUGGAGAGGAGACUGGAAUUCAUGGUGUAGCAGUGAAAUGCGUAGAGAUCAUGAGGAAGACCAGUGGCGAAGGCGGGUCUCUGGACAGUUCCUGACACUGAGACACGAAGGCCAGGGGAGCAAACGGG
RNAcentral lists this ribosomal RNA (253 nucleotides) under uncultured bacterium. Its description in RNAcentral is "partial 16S ribosomal RNA". It matches the Rfam family "Bacterial small subunit ribosomal RNA", at positions 524 to 776 of the family's 1533-position model. The record is from RNAcentral.